CAGUAGCCGCGGUAAUACGAAGGGGGCUAGCGUUGUUCGGAUUUACUGGGCGUAAAGCGCACGUAGGCGGAUCCUUAAGUCAGAGGUGAAAUCCCAAGGCUCAACCUUGGAACUGCCUUUGAUACUGGGGAUCUCGAGUUCGGGAGAGGUGAGUGGAGCUGCGAGUGUAGAGGUGAAAUUCGUAGAUAUUCGCAAGAACACCAGUGGCGAAGGCGGCUACCUGGACUGACGCUGACACUGAGGCGCGAAAGCGUGGGGAGCAAACAGGAUUAGAUACCCCUGUAGUCCCUGUCUCUUAUAC
RNAcentral lists this ribosomal RNA (301 nucleotides) under uncultured bacterium. Its description in RNAcentral is "partial 16S ribosomal RNA". It matches the Rfam family "Bacterial small subunit ribosomal RNA", at positions 509 to 807 of the family's 1533-position model. The record is from RNAcentral.